Molecule: long non-coding RNA, 748 nt
Filed under: Accipiter nisus (Eurasian sparrowhawk)
Lineage: Eukaryota; Metazoa; Chordata; Aves; Accipitriformes; Accipitridae
Description: lncRNA (ENSANIG00000009880.1)
Source: RNAcentral
AGCGGCAGCGCGGGCGGGACGGCAGGGGGCGCUGCUCGGCCGGGCUGCGGCGGGGCCGGAGCGGGGCUCGGGGCGGAGGGGGGGGGGGGGGGGGGGGGCGGGGGGGGGGGGGGGGGGGGGGGGGGGGGGGGGGAAUCGGCCGGGGCCGGUCUGUGAGGGGAGCUCGCGGAAAGUGACAAGCGAGGGUCUGAGGGGCGGCAGAGGCGGCGGCCGCCCGCGUUCGCUUCCCCGCCCGCCAAGAGAGAGCGCAGCCCCGAGGGCGUCGGCGGUGCGGGAGGGAGACGCGGCCCCGCGGCGGUUACGCGGACCGGCCCGGGACGCCGGCGCUGCGCUGUGGAUGUGGGAGUAAGCGCGGCGCCGGUUCAGGAAUGCAGCAGCCGGGCGGCGGGGACGGGGGGAGCCUCUUGCUUCUCCCGCUGCUCCUGCUGCUGCGUGCGGGUAGCCGGGCGGAGCUGGGGGACGCCACGCAAGGAGCAAAUACAUCAGUUGUUGCUGAUUUCAUGCCUACAUCAUCAUGGAACAUCUCAAGUGAAUUAGAUAAAGGAAAUGAAUUUAAAAGAGAUGCAGCCACCCGUGAAGAGCUGUUGAAAGCAACGAUUGAUGGGAGGGAGGAGGUGGUUUCUCACCAAAACCUUAAAAAAACAAACAAACUGUGCAUAAAAAAUAAAAAAUAAUCACUUUUAAAACAGGGGAAAUUUAGCUAUGAGCAUUUCUCUCCCUUUUCCGACUGGUAAAUCACGGCAUGCAG